Molecule: ribosomal RNA, 253 nt
Filed under: uncultured bacterium
Lineage: Bacteria
Description: partial 16S ribosomal RNA
Rfam family: Bacterial small subunit ribosomal RNA
Source: RNAcentral
UACGGAGGGGACUAGCGUUGUUCGGAAUUACUGGGCGUAAAGGGCGCGUAGGCGGCUGAGCAAGUCGACUGUGAAAUCCCUGGGCUUAACCCAGGAAGUGCAGUUGAUACUGCUCAACUUGAGUCCCGGAGAGGGUGGUGGAAUUCCCAGUGUAGAGGUGAAAUUCGUAGAUAUUGGGAGGAACACCGGUGGCGAAGGCGACCACCUGGACGGAGACUGACGCUGAGGCGCGAAAGCGUGGGGAGCAAACAGG